This is a long non-coding RNA of Fukomys damarensis (Damara mole-rat), 2025 nucleotides long. NCBI's taxonomy places the organism in Eukaryota, Metazoa, Chordata, Mammalia, Rodentia, Bathyergidae. The record is from Ensembl.
GGUGGCGCAGCUACGGUCUGGGAGGAGCCCACUUGGGCUCCCCCACGUGUGCUGUCCACCACACGAUCCGGAGGACCCCGCCAGCUUCCAGCACCACCGUCCCUCAGCGGACUCUUGUCGUGCUCCUCAGCUCCUCACGCGCUGUCACCUCCGACACGGCCCAGCCUUAGGAGCUGCAGCACACGUGCAGGGGUGGCCGGCGCUGGAGAGGGGAUCCUCGCAGCCCCCCUCGCCCCACCAUUCACGCAGGCUCCCUCCUGUUCACACACCCGACCUCAUCCUUACCAGUAAUGGCAGCCCCUCCACAGUCUCACCCCAGGCAGCUCCCCGCUCCUCCCCUCCGCAGUCCUCCAGCCCACCGGGCCCUGCAGCGCAUCUCUCCGACCUAUCACCUUCACACUGCUCCCUUACGCAGCCCAGACGCCACAGAAAUGCUUGUAACGUCUCCUUUCCAAGGCCCUACUGCUCUCCCUGGCUCUGUCACUUGGCAAAGCUGUGACCCUAGUCAGGGCCAAAUCCCCCUGCUCUGUGCCUGCCCGUGCAGCUGACAACGAGACAGAGACACAGGGUCAUGCCGCCUGGCCUCUGCUUACACACACGGAGAUGAGGUAUGGCUGUGUCGCCCAAGGUAGCGUUGAAUGCCUGGGCUCAGGCAGUCUCCUGCAUCAGCCUCCCGAGUGCUGGGACUGCAGGUGAGCAUCGCCACACGAGGGUGGCCUCCCUUUCAAUUCCUGGCCUUUCGUGCGGCCUGGCCACUGCAUUCCAUGCUCCUAGUUCAUUUACUUUCCGAGUCCUGCUGACACCCGCUUCCCUUCUCUCCUCCAAUCUGCACUUCCCACGACCCUCAGCAGAAGACCUGGUCUGUGGGAAAAUCAAAACUGGCCGAAGGGAAUUUCCAGGGCCCUGCUGCCCAAAGCACCUGUGCUGGAUUACUCUGCUGUCUUCCCUCUCACCUGACCCUUCCAAAGCCAGUCUUUCAGAUCUACCUCGUGGUUCAGCACAGGGAAUUCACAGCCAUACACCAUGCAGCCUAGCGUCCCACGCCGAGUCUGUCUCCUCAGACUUUCUCCUCGGACGUGACCCAGGUAUUUCAGACUCAGCAUGGUGAAGAAUGAAACCCCCAAGCUGCUCCAGCCCAGUCUCCCUCAUCUCAGGUCUCGGCAACUCCACUCUUCCAGUUGCUCAGGGUAAAUAUCAAGGAUUCUUCCUGGACAUUUCUCUCUUCCUUCCUGCUCCAUAUUCAAACCACCAAUGACACUAGGGUCCCUCAAAAUGCAGUGAAGUCCUACCACAUCUCCGUCUCUCUGGAUGCUAUCCCGGCCUGAAACACACUCUGAGGUCACUGGGUUACUUACAGAAGCCUGCUAAAGGUCUCCCUGUGUCCACCAUUGCCCCUACAGCAAAGCAUGUUAAGUGCUUUAUUGCAGUGGUUUCUCCAAACUUAACUUAGAUCACAAUUUUCCUCCACUAAAAGUCUCCCUAUGGCCCUGCAUGCUUCCCAGAGUUAACUCAAAGACCAGUCGCCCAUACCAGCUCACUUUCUGUUUGGACAAUGUUCUCCUCUCCUCUCCUCCUCAGCACCCCCGCCUACCCUUGAGCACACCAGCCAGCUGGCCACUCUCCCACCUCCAGUCCUGUUUUCCAUCCCCCAGCCUGCAACGCCCUUCCCCAAACACCUACUGCCCUGGCUCCCUGGCUCCUUUAAGUCUUUGCUCAGUGUCGCCUGCCCACUGACAUCCAGCAGUCCAGCUCUCCCCAGGAAUCCCUGAGCUCUCUGAAUGCCUUCAUUUUUUCCUACAGUACCCAGCACCUCCAUUACACUGCAGCACUUGCUUAUUUAUUAUGUGUUUAGACACUGUCUCCGCCUGCUCCACAGAGGCAAAAUGUUAUUGUGUUUUGCAACCUAUAGCAACUCCUGGCACAAAGUGCAUAUUCUACCAAGAUUCGGUGAAUAAAAAACACACACAGACCUGCCCUGGUCCCAUUUUCCAAAGCUCCAUUACUGUGGCGAUUCUACUGUUCCCA